RNAcentral lists this ribosomal RNA (604 nucleotides) under Moesziomyces aphidis. Its description in RNAcentral is "partial large subunit ribosomal RNA". It matches the Rfam family "Eukaryotic large subunit ribosomal RNA", at positions 72 to 657 of the family's 3401-position model. Lineage: Eukaryota; Fungi; Basidiomycota; Ustilaginomycetes; Ustilaginales; Ustilaginaceae. The record is from RNAcentral.
GGAUUCCCCUAGUAACGGCGAGUGAAGAGGGAAGAGCCCAAGAUUGAAAGCUGGCGUCUUCGGCGUCCGCAUUGUAAUCUCAAGAAGUGUUUUCCGCUUCGGACCAAGCCUAAGUCCCUUGGAAAAGGGCAUCAUAGAGGGUGAUAAUCCCGUACAUGGCUUGGAGCGCCCGAAGCUUUGUGAUACGCUUUCUAAGAGUCGAGUUGUUUGGGAAUGCAGCUCAAAAUGGGUGGUAAAUGCCAUCUAAGGCUAAAUAUUGGGGAGAGACCGAUAGCGAACAAGUACAGUGAUGGAAAGAUGAAAAGAACUUUGAAAAGAGAGUUAAACAGUACGUGAAAUUGCCAAAAGGGAAGGGUAGGAGGUCAGAGAUGCGGCCUGGGAUUCAGCCUUGCUUUUGCUUGGUGUUUUUCCCAGAUUGCAGGCCAACGUCGGUUUUGGGCACUGGAGAAGGGUAGGAGGAACGUGGCACCUCUCGGGGUGUGUUAUAGCCUCCUACUGGAUACAGCGACCGAGACCGAGGACAGCAGCGUACUCGCAAGAGCGGGCCUUCGGGCACCUUUACGCUUAGGGCGUUGGCAUAAUGGCCCUCUACCACCCGUCUUGA